UAAUACGUAGGUGGCAAGCGUUGUCCGGAAUUAUUGGGCGUAAAGCGCGCGCAGGUGGGAUAUUAAGUCUGGUGUUAAAGUUCGGGGCUCAACCCCGUGAAGCAUUUGGAAACUGAUAUUCUUGAGUGCAGGAGAGGAAAGUGGAAUUCCUAGUGUAGCGGUGAAAUGCGUAGAUAUUAGGAGGAACACCAGUGGCGAAGGCGACUUUCUGGACUGUGUCUGACACUGAGGCGCGAAAGCUAGGGUAGUGAACAGGAUUAGAUACCCUGGUAAUCCUAGCUGUAAACGAUGGGUACUAGGUGUUGGGGGUAUCGACCCCUCCAGUGCCGGAGUUAACGCAAUAAGUACCCCGCCUGGGGAGUACGGCCGCAAGGUUG
RNAcentral lists this ribosomal RNA (377 nucleotides) under uncultured bacterium. RNAcentral describes it as "bacterial SSU rRNA". It matches the Rfam family "Bacterial small subunit ribosomal RNA", at positions 521 to 896 of the family's 1533-position model. The record is from RNAcentral.